CGUGGGCAAGCGCGGCCGGCGGAACUGGCUGGCCAUCCCGCCGCGGCCCUGACCCCUGGGGGUGCGCUGGCUGCCGGGGUCAGAUGCAUGCUGACCUUUCUCCGGAGGAAAGAUAAAUUAUUAUGGUUGUGGGUGAGCGUCAGUGCAAAUGUUUUCCCGAGUCCUCCUCCGGCUCCGGGUGCUGUUUGAAUCCCCCGCAUUCCUCAACCCUGGGCAAGGAGCGGCAGCGGCCUUUGUGUCUCCGGGGAGCGCAUGCCACCUAGGAGGAGACAGCGGACCAGAGUUAAAGAACAGGGAGGACAUUAGCGUGAGUUGUUCUUUGUUUUUUGGGUUUUUUUAUAAAUCUUUUAAAGCGUCCCAGUGAACCUAGAAACGUAAAACUUCAACAGCAAGUGUUGUGGGUUUUAUAGACGUCUGUUUCUUUGUCUUUUUCAUGCCCUCCUCCCUGCCAAAAAUAUUUGUUCGCUGGAGAGCAUAUCCCGAAAGAGCUAUUUACCCCCCAUUCAUCCAGGUAAAAUUGAUUCUGGCAUUCUCUGUGACCUGCUGGAAGGAAGAGCCUUCCUUCACCGAGGCUGAAAAGUGAUACGCCCUAUUUGACUCGGCCUCUUUCUGUUCGCUGUUGCCCUUUCCAGUGUGAAGAUGUGUUUUCUCUCUGCCAGUUGGAGAGAGAAGAGCAUCUGCCCCCCAUGCUUUGUCUGCUCUGCGACGGCCCUAACACAGCAGAGCUACAUAAGGACGCUUUUCAGCCCAGGAGCCCGGCGUUGAACUCGUGCCAUGGGGAAUGAAUUCUUCAAUAGACCCCUCGUCCCCUGCUGGAAGUUAAAGAGGGAUGGUUUGCAGGGAAGCAUAUGUGUGCAGAUGUGUCUUCCUGUCCUGGUGUUCCGUUUCUUUGUGUCUUUAAGUUCUCCUGCUUCUGUGUGGACUCGUUUUUUUAUUGCGAUGAGUUCCCUGGAGGCCGUGCAGCUCAGGACCCUCACCAGUCUACACACACACACACACACACACACACACACACACACACACACAAAAUGUAGCUCCUACUGAUAGCAGCAGUGUAAACUGAUUCUGGCAGUUAAGAGCUUUAUUCCUGCCGACCGAUGACUGGCUCUUACAGAAUUAGUUUGCAAAGCUAGCAAUUAGAUAACUAAUGUCCGUGGUACUGUGUUGCUAAAGGGAAAAUCCAGUAUUGCUAGAAAUCAAGUAUGGACUCCGCAGAGUUGUUUUUAUGGGGAGUGUGUGUGUGUGUGUGUGUGUGUGUGUGAUGCGUGCACAUAGACAAACUGCUGUACAAUGGAGGGUUACAGAUGGCUCUAAGUCACUGUCAGUUAUCAUUGGAUUCUGGUUUACUUAAAGGCUCCAUCUAUAUCAUCUUGAGCAGUGAAUUGGUUCCCAAACUAUAAUUUAUAGUAACUCAUUAGUUUAUUGAUAAAGGCUUAAAAGCAAUUUGAAAUAUACAGAAUACCUGUGAUUCUCAGUCACAAAUGCUCUAAGAACUAUUUUGUGUUUAGCCAAAAAAAAAAAAAAAUUUAGGUUGAGCCAUUCCUCCAGUAAUUGUCAUUGAGACACAAGGAUAAGUGGGGAGUGGUUGCCCAGGCCUCUGCUCCAAGAAUAGGGAUGUGGGGUAGGAAGAUCAGGACUUAUAUAAGUUCAAGAAAAAGGCACCAAAAUAAUACUCUGAAUCAUGUGUUGUGAUAUCCCAUGUAAGAAUAAACAGAUAUGGCCAGUCAUGAUAGUAAUAAUCCAUAACCUGAAUAUGAGGGGACAGGGACUUAGGCUGGAAAAUUGCAAAUUCUUAGGCAACUUAGGAAAAGCAUGUCUCAAAAUCAGGGCUUACUGAGGCUGUGGUUGAGUGGUACUGAGGUUCCUAACACUCCAGACCCUGGGUUCUGUCACCAGUAUCAGAAAAAGAAUUGCACAUAAAGAAAGUCAAAUGAUGUGUAAAAAUAAAAUCAUGAUCCCUUUUGGUUCAUAGCACGAUCACUGGUCAUGCAUGAUGGCGUGAUAUAGAAAAGAAGGAAGAAAAGCCCAAGAUUCUAUGAGUUCUGUUAACCACAUCCGUACAGAAACAGAAUCAGUGAAGGAUGAUUGUGCCGACGCCAGAGAAGGCUGCCCUGGAUGAGGCUGACUUUAUAAUCUGCUGAUCGGUUUUGAAAUUUGUUUCUACUUUAUAUUUAGCUCCCAAUUUUCCCUUCUAAAGGUGUUAAAAUAGCUAUAUACUAAAGAAUAAGAACCAUCCGUACUAAUUUUUAUUAAAUUUCUAACCAAAUUUUAGCUUUUUGUUUUGUUUUUCUUUCUUUUUUAACAGGCUCAUGUAUCUCAGGCUGGCCUUGUCUUUGCUAGUAGUCGAAGAUGACCUUGACCGUCUGACCUCCUCCCUUAGUACCUCCAGAGUAGUAAGACUGUGGGGGGGUGUCACCACCUCCAGCUUAUUAGGUACUGGGGGUUUGAACACUUGGCUUUCUUUAUGCCUGGCAAGUCCUCUACCAACUGAACUACAUCCCUAGACCUUUCAAUUUUAUUUUUAAUAAAGUACUUUUUAAAACAAAAUUCUACAACCAACAAUAUGCAGUAAACCUUUUUCUGCCUCAGUUCGCACAAGUCCCAGAAAAUAAGUAGAACCAGGAACAAGAUUAAUGCAUCUGAGAAAAGCAAACGACUCAAACAGAGCAACUAAGUUUCAUGACCAGCAGAUCACUCGGCUACCAGUAACUUCCAUACUUUGGCAAGUCUCGGUAUGAAACCUAGCAAGCACUAGGCCCUGGGUGACCUGAAACUCAAACUCACCAUGAAGACAAGACCCACCUCCAAUUCUCAGAGCUCUGCCUGCCUCUGCAUCCUGCACAUGAGGAUUGAAGGCCACGAGAAGUGGGAACUUGACUCUGGCCUUCUGUUACAAUGGUGUUAUGAACGUGUGCCCUGAAACACUCCGCCACACACAUCUGUCCUAGACAUGCACCAAGAAUGAAGAGGAAAUGUGGGUGUCGAAUAAUGGGAGCAGCCGGGACGUGGCUGACCAUCCCUUUCUGAAAGGGCAUACAAGAUGGCAAGAAGGGGCUGACGAUGGAGUCCUACUGGACACUGGGACAUUGCAAAAGGGAAUGCUGGCUAAGCGUGCUGGGAAGGAGAAAGCUACUGCAAGUACAGCAUGCAGGUGUGACUUGCAUCAUCAGGAGAGAAGCCACCAAUACAGCCUUCUUACCGGUAACUAUGCUAGCCCAUCAAGUGGAUGAAUCGGCUUCAUCCACCCAUGCCAACAGUAUGUUCCCUUAGUCACGGCCCUUCCUAGCAAGAGAGAAACUGAGCAAAGAGACUGCUGAGAGUCAUAUAAGCUACCAAACCAGAAAUUCCUAAAGUGCAUGAAGAGAUUGUCAGAAGACCAUCACAAUCAACAAUCUAGAGAGACAUUCACUCCAGAGGAAUAAGACUAAUAUGCUGAAAAGAGCUUAAAAAUAAACGUUUUAGGAAUCUUAAAGAAAUGCAUGAAGCCGGGCAAUAGUGGCGCACGCCUUUCAUCCCAGCACUUGGGAGGCAGAGGCCAGUCUGGUCUACAAAGUGAGUUCCAGGGCUGAACUGUUACAGAGAAACCCUGCCAUGAAAACCUAACAAAAAGAAAGAUACACAAAAAGGUACCAUGGAGAGGGCUAAGAAAUGAUAAAGUAAAGAAGGAAAGCUGAGAAUAGUGGGGCAUGCUUGUGUCUCUAGCUCUCAGGAGCAUAAGGAGUAUGAGAUCAAGGCCAGGGGCUACAUAGAGAGACUUUGUCUCAAAAACAAGCGAAUUGUAUAUGAUAUGUAUAUGAUUUCAAAUGCCUUAAAUCUAACAAUUAUACCUUCAACAUAAUCCAAAGCAUAGCACAUGAGACUCUCAGGAAGAGGCCAGCAAUCUGAGUUUCAAGUCUCCCUAAGUGAGUCUGAGGUGGGUGGGCAUGGAGAAUCAACAGCCAAAAUGAAUUUUCAGAUUACAUCUGACCUUGAGAGUUUCCAAGGUCACACGUUUCCUUCUGCUCAGGUGAGCCUGUCUCCACUCCAGCACUGAACAUGCACACACGUGAUCAGGUGCAGCACUAGCCCACAGCCACAAUUCCCAGGUUUGCGAUCUACCUCUGACACCCUAGGACUAUAAACAGUUUCCUCACGCAGAGAUAAAGGAGGAAGACAGGCAUUAACUGCCCUCCUGAGCUGCUACAAGGUCAAAUCCGAGGAAGGUUUGCAGAUUGUUUUCCAAGUAUCUGUUUGAGAUAAGACACUAAUAAGUAUCAGUUCUAGAUUUAAACCUUGACCGCUUGAGGGAAAACUGCGUACAAGCACCACAUAGAAAAGAGGAAAAUCAUUAAAUUUUACCUUAUACAUCUUUUCAUUUUAAUUACUAGAAGGCACUGCAUUGGAACUGCCAUUUGUUGAGAAGAUUGCCGUAAAGUUCUGAAGUCUUUGCAGGACUUUAAACUGUAGGAAGCUGUAAUAUCUUGCUGUGUUCUUUUGUGCUUUGGAAAGGAGUGGGCUGUGUUAUCCUAAUUGUUUUCUUUCCAGUAAGUUUAAUGAAUUUGACACAUUAUGUAUUGUACCUUUUUAAGCUGUGCAUUCUCACCUAUCCUUACCAAAUGCCAUGUUCCUGCAGCCCCUACUCUGAGCUCCUGGGCUCCUUGCCAAACCUUCCUUUCCUCUGCUGCCACUUGCUCUCAACGCUUGAUUCAGAGGCUCAUCUCUGACCCUGGCGUUACCCUGAACACUCCCUUCUUGCUCAUAGUCCACCCUUUUGUCUAAUCCUAGCAGCUCUUCCUGUUUCACCCUCACUGCAAACCAAGCCUCCUCAGACACUGCUCUGGGCAUGUCCCAUUUGUGAUCACCUCAAAGACCCCUAGCAUCAAAGACAACUCUGCAGCUAUUUUGGCAGCUUCAAUCUCGGACGAUUUCAUGUGUGAAUCCUCAGCAGAAGGUUUGUCUCCCCAAUAUGAGUGAGCAUGCUUCCACUCCCUCACAUCUCCAGCUUCAUCCCUCCACUCCUCUCUAGGUCCAAGCCCCUUGUCAAUCACCGGAUGGAAUCCCGACCUUCUCUGUUGUUUACGAGUUUCGUCUCUGCAUUGCUGAGCUCACAGGAUUUCUCUUUCCACCCUGUACAAUAAGCAUGGCCACAUGACUUGUUUAGUCAAUGAGCCAUGAAGAACUGGUGUGUCACUUCUGAUGUGAGUGGCACACUGCUCUGUCUUUCCUUGCUACAGUGACUGGGGAGAGACAUGAAUGACUGGAGAUGCCACAAUGCCCGGGACCUAGGGCUCAGCCACAGUCACGGCACAAUGGCUCUGGAGGGCCAACAAGUCCCCACAGUGUUAUUUACGAAAAUUAGCCCAGAACUGGAUUUGAGGUUCCUUCUUAGAACAAGAUAAUGUGGCACAUCUCAACUCAGAUAUGUCCACAGACCCCACCAAAGUAUUCUCUGCCACUCAAAAGCUCCUGUCAGCCCAUCCUGCAGACCCCCGGGGCUCUUUGUCACUUCUUCUUGGAAAACAUAUCUCAAAAUAAUAAAAACCAAUUUGGUUUUAGA
Myodes glareolus (Bank vole) is the source of this 5536-nucleotide non-coding RNA. The record is from RefSeq and is a predicted model, not a curated record. NCBI's taxonomy places the organism in Eukaryota, Metazoa, Chordata, Mammalia, Rodentia, Cricetidae.